AUCGCUGUGAAGUGUUGUCUGAAGGAGAUGCAGGAAACCGAGAGGACUGUAGGCGGAUAUGCAGACCCAAACGAAUAGUGAACUACAGACGCGGCGGGACAAGUUGGCGACCAUCCGAUAAUAAUGGGAAGCCUUCCUAAUGGUAUCUAUUUGCCAAAGAACCAGUCGACAAAUAGGAGCUUGUUCUGUGAAAGGUAGUGGGUAUGCUUAGAAGGAAAAUGCG
Non-coding RNA from Anaerobacillus alkalilacustris, 223 nucleotides. The record is from Rfam. NCBI's taxonomy places the organism in Bacteria, Bacillati, Bacillota, Bacilli, Caryophanales, Bacillaceae.